This 576-nucleotide ribosomal RNA is filed under the name uncultured bacterium. RNAcentral's name for it is "bacterial SSU rRNA". It matches the Rfam family "Bacterial small subunit ribosomal RNA", at positions 236 to 807 of the family's 1533-position model. The record is from RNAcentral.
UCCCAUCAGCUUGUUGGUAAGGUAAUGGCUUACCAAGGCUAAGACGGGUAGCUGGUCUGAGAGGAUGAUCAGCCACACUGGUACUGGAACACGGACCAGACUCCUACGGGAGGCAGCAGUGAGGAAUAUUGGGCAAUGGGCGAAAGCCUGACGGAGCGACGCCGCGUGCAGGAUGAAGGCCCUUGGGUUGUAAACUGCUGUCAGAGGGGAUGAAGUCACGGUUGGCUAUCCUUCCGUGUUGACAGAGCCUCAAAGGAAGCACGGGCUAAGUACGUGCCAGCAGCCGCGGUAACACGUACUGUGCGAACGUUAUUCGGAAUCACUGGGCUUAAAGGGUGCGUAGGCGGUUUAUCAAGUCAGGUGUGAAAUGCCAGAGCUCAACUGUGGCACUGCGCUUGAAACUGAUAGACUAGAGGGUUCCAGGGGUAUACGGAACUGCCAGUGGAGCGGUGAAAUGCGUUGAUAUCGGCAGGAACACCAGUGGCGAAGGCGGCAUACUGGGGGACAACUGACGCUGAGGCACGAAAGCUAGGGUAGCGAACGGGAUUAGAUACCCCGGUAGUCCUGGCUGUAAAC